AUGAGGGUACCUCAGGGACCCACUCCACAGACAGAGAUGGAGUUUGCUGAGAAGAGGGUUCAUGAAGUCCUCUAUAUUGUGACUGGGGAAGGUUCUCUGGACAUCCUGAAACCACAGGAACUUUGGGGGCACAGGAUAACAAUUCAGAUACCAGCCAUGCAUCAGGCAGGUCCUUUGGGAAAUAUUCCAGAAGAAGUCAUUGUUAUCAGAGGAGAGGAAGCUCCACGUGUGGUACUGACUCUUACAGACCUCUCAGGGAGACACGAGGUGGAGGUGGAAGACGGUGAUAUUGAUGACCCCAACCCUGGUGCUGUGGAAUCUAUUGCCAUGAAGAACCCAAAAGAAAGGAAUGCUCUCUUUGAAGACAUCAGUCCCUCUGGGGAGCUAGCCCAGGAAUAUGAUAAGUGAAAGAAGGAAAUGGUGAAGGCUGAAGAGGACACACAGUUUAAUUACCAUCGCAAGAAAAACAUUACAGCUGAACACAAGGAGACCAAACAGGGGAAGGGAGAGGCUGCCUGCUACCAGCGCCUGAAGGAUGAGGUGGUACGAGCUCAGGUACAACUGCAACUCUUUAAGCUUUAACAUAAUGAAGUGGAAAUUGAAAAGCUCAACAAGGAACUGGCCUCUAAGAAUAAGGAGAUUGAGAAGGAUCAGAAGUGAACGGACAAGGUAGAGGAUGAGCUGAAGGAGAAGAAGAAGGAACUGGGCAAAAUGAUGCUGUGGGAAAGAGAUCAAGGAAAGGAUUCAGAGCUGAAUCAGAAGCGGCCUCAAUACAUCAAAGCCAAGGAGAAUACCUCCCAUAAAAUUAAGAAGCUGGAAGCUGCAGAAUGCUCAGAAACACUACCAGAAGAGUAAAGGUGACAUGGAUGAGCAGGAGAAGGAGGUGCUGUGUCCUGUCAGUGGAGAAGGCCCGGCAGGAGUCUGAAGAAUGGAUGGAAGAAGAGUCAGAGUCAGGGCAGAGACUUGGCCUUAGAGGAGAAUCAGGUGAAGAAGAAGCCAGCAAGAAGAGAGCAGCUACCUUAGCCCAGGAGCUGGAGAAAUUCAAUAGACACUGGAAAGCUGAUCAAGACCGUCUGGAUCUAGAAGAGCAGAAGGUAGAGACAGAGGCCAAGAUCAAACAGAAGCUGUGGGAGAUUGAAGAAAAUCAAAAGCAGGUUUAAAAACUAGAGGAAUACAUCACCACUAGCAAGCAGUCCCUAGGGAACAGAAGUUAGAGGGGAGCUGACAGAGGAGGUGGAGAUGGCCAAACGGCGUAUUGAUGAAACCUAUAAGGAACUGAACCCAGGGAUGGAGCAGCUAGGGGAUGCCCACAUCAACUGCCAGGAGAGCAGCCACCAGCAGCGUAAGGCAGAGAUGACGGAAAGCAUCAAGCGUCUCUACCCUGGUUCUGUGUAUGGCCGCCUCACUUACCUCUGCCAGCCCACACAAAAGAAGUCUCAGAUUGCUGUAACCAAGGUUUUGGGCAAGAACAUGGAUGCAAUUAUUGUGGACUCAGAGAAGACAGGCUGGGACUGUAUUCAGUAUAUCAAGGAGCAGCGUGGGGAGCCUUGAGACCUUCUUGCCUCUUGACUACCUGGAGGUGAAACCUACAGAUGAGAAACUCCAGGAGCUGAAGGGGGCCAAGCUUGUGAUUGAUGUGAUUUGCUAUGAACCAACUCACAUCAAAAAGGCCCUGCAGUAUGCAUGUGGCAAUGCCCUUGUCUGGGACAACGUGGAAGAUGCCCGCUGCAUUACCUUUGGAAGCCACCAAUGCCAUAAGACAGUGGCAUUAGAUGGAACCCUGUUCCAGAAGUCAGGAGUGAUCUCUGGUGGGGCCAGUGACCUGAAGUCCAAGGCACAGUGUCGGGAUGAGAAAGCAGUAGAUAUGUUGAAAGAGGAAAAGGAACGCUUGACAGAGGAGCUGAAAGAGUAAAUGAAGGCAAAACAGAAAGAAGCAGAGCUACGUCAAGUGCAGUCUCAAGCCCACGGACUGCAGAUGCAGCUCAAGUACUCACAGAGUGACUUGGAACAGACCAAGACACAACAUCUAGCUCUAAAUCUGCAGGAAAAGUCCAAGCUGGAGAGUGAGUUAGCCAACUUCAGGCCUCACAUUAUUGAUAUCAAAAGGAUUAUCCAGAGCCGAGAGAGGGAAAUGAAAGACUUGAACGAGAAGAUGAACCAAGGAGAAGAUGAAGCGUUUGAAGAGUUUUGUCGGGAGAUCAGUGUGCGCAACAUCCGGGAGUUUGAAGAAGAGAAGGUAAAAUGGAAAAAUUAAAUCAUGAAAAAGCGUUUGGAGCUUGAGAACCAGAAGACUCACUUGGGCAUCCAGUUGGAUUUUGAAAAGAGCCAACUGAAGGAUGGCCAGGAUAAAGUACACAUGUGAGAGCAGACUGUUAAAAAGGAUGAAGAUGAAAUAGAAAAGCUCAAGAAGGAAGAACAAAGACACAUGAAGAUCACAGAUGAGACAACAGCCCAGCUACAGGACCUGAGGAAUCGGCACCUGGCCAAGAAGUCAGAAUGAAUGACCAGAAUCACGCGCUGGAGGAGAUUCAUAAGAAACUAGGGGUGCCAACAAGGAAAUGACCCAUUUACAGAAGGAGGUGACAGCCAUUGAGACCAUGCUUGAACAGAAGCGCAGUGACCGCCACAACUUGCUACAAGCUUGCAAAAUGCAAGACAUCAAGUUGCCACUAUCAAAAGGCACCAUGGAUGAUACUAGUCAGGAAGAGGGUAGCUCCCUAGGGGAGGAUUCAGUGAGUGGUUCCCAGAGAAUCUCCAGUAUCAAUGCACAAGACCUGUGUGAGGAUCUAAAGGAUGCCCAAGCUGAGGAGGUGAUUAAACAAGAAAUGAACACACUGCAGCAGAAGCUGAAUGAACAGCAGAGUGUGCUUCAGCAUAUUGCUGCCCCCAACAUGCAGGCCAUGGAAAAACUGGAAAGUGUCCGAGACAAGUUUCAGGAGACCUCAGAUGAGUUUGAGGCAGCUCAAAAGCAAGCAAAGAAGGCCAAGCAGGCAUUUGAACAGAUGGAGAAGGAGCGCUUUGACCGCUUCAAUGCUUGUUUUGAAUCUGUGGCUACCAACAUUGAUGAGAUCUAUAAGGCCCUGUCCUGCAACAGCAGUGCACAGGCAUUCCUGGGCCACGAGAACCCUGAGGAACCCUACUUAGAUGGCAUCAAUUACAAUUUACAAUUGUGUGGCUCCUGGGAAAUGCUUCCAGCCUAUGGACAAUUUGUCAGGCAGGGAGAAGGCAGUGGCAGCUCUAGCUCUAGUCUUUGCCAUCCAUAGCUACAAGCCAGCCCCCUUCUUUAUCCUGGAUGAGAUCGAUGCUACCUUGGAUAACAGCAACAUUGGCAAGGUGGCAAAUUACAUCAAGGAGCAGUCGACUUGCAACUUCCAGGCCAUUGUCAUCUCUCUCAAGGAGGAGUUCUACACCAAGGCUGAGAGCCUCAUUGGAGUCUAUCCUGAGCAAGGGGAUUGUGUGAUCAGCAAAGUCCUGACCUUCGACCUCACCAAGUACCCAGAUGCCAACCCUAACCCCAAUGAACAGUAGCAAUACUUCCCUCCUGCCCUGUCUGGAUACCUAAACUGCCCCUCUCCCAAUCCCUGGAUAUUUGGCUCCCAACCUUCUCCUACCUCCUGGCCCUUUUUGAUGUAGUCAUGGGAUUUAAGCACCGUUAUCAAGCACAAAGAGGAACAGAGGUGAUGUUAGGUCUGGAGCAAAAAUUCUUGAGCGUCAGCAAGAAUUGGCCUGGCCUCUGGAAGGAAGUGCCAAGGUGAAUGGGGCCAUUGAUCCAUUCCCUACCCUCUUGUGAGCCUCCCUGCUCAUCACCUAUACUCAUAAAUCCCUUGGGCCCCUUGCCCACUUUGUGUGUGGAUAUGUAUGUGUGUAUAUGUGUGUUGGCAUGUGUGCAUGUAGGUCUGUUUGCAAAAUAAUAAAAGACUGGAGAUCUGUUUUAGAAGGAACCUAGGCUGAAUUUGAUUACAAGAGAGUUCAGGAUGACAGCACCCCCAGAGCUAGGCAAGGUACUCUGGAUGUCAUAGGAUUCUUAG
RNA transcript from Nycticebus coucang (slow loris), 4028 nucleotides. It is a transcript of the gene named structural maintenance of chromosomes protein 1A-like, with no coding region annotated. The transcript has 4 exons. NCBI's taxonomy places the organism in Eukaryota, Metazoa, Chordata, Mammalia, Primates, Lorisidae. The record is from RefSeq and is a predicted model, not a curated record.